CUUUUUGUGUCUGGCAACCGUGGAGACAAAUAGAAGCUAUCGGUACUAUCGAUAGUGCCAUCGAAUCUCUAACUUAUAUUUAUUCGUCUCGUUUUAUCCCUUCUAAUAGCUGCAUUAAGUUUUCGUAGUAUUUGCAAAAUGGUGGAUACUAAAUUGGAGGCGGUACCUAGCGUAGACAUUGGGGUAGGAAUAUUUAAAUAUGUACUCAUAAAAGUGUACGGGAAGGACGAAUCAUACCAAAAAAUCAUUGUACGAGGCUAUGCAGACUGUCAAUGGCAUUCUGAUAUAUACGAUCGAUCGAGCGAAUCCUUGAAGGGACUUGGACUGGAGACGGAAUGCCUUGGUGGUGGACGGAUUGAGUAUAAUUCCAAUUCAAAGCUUAUAAAAGUUUAUGGUUAUUCACAGGGCUUUGGAAAGGCAGACCACUAUAAAACCAAACAAAUUUUGCAAGAUAAAUUUCCAGAGUAUGAAAUUCAGAUUUCUGAUGAAGGAUAUUAAAACGCUAAUGGACGCCGAGGAAUCCGAAGAAAGGGAAAGGCGGAUACAGAGGAGGAGAUUGCGAGACCACACGAAUGUAAUGGAACUACCUGAGACUGAGUUUGUUGCAAAUUUCCGAAUCAACAAAGAAAUAUUCCAAUACAUAUUAAACGAAUUAAAAGAGCACAUGGCCACAUCACAUAGAAGCACCCACCUAUCGCACCAGCUAAAACUCGCGACUUUUUAAAGAUUUCUCGCCACCGGCAGUUAUCAAAAAUCUGUUGGUAACGAAAAUAUUUCGUCGAUGGUGCAGUCAACUGCAGCCAACGUGAUCAGGGAAUGCCAAAAUAUUUUUGAGGACCAUUUUUGCCAGAAAUGGGUGAAUUUUAGGAGAAACAUCGAUGAGGAAAAUGCAGUUAAAGAAUAUUUCUUUGAGAAAUACGGAAUACCUGGGGUUAUUGGUUGUGUUGAUGGAACACACGUUCGUAUUAAGUCGCCAGGAAGUGACAACCACCUCUUAUACCUCAACCGCAAGCGUUUUUACAGUCUUAAUGUAAUAGCGAUAUGCGAUCACAACAUGGUAAUCACAUUUGUUGACGCUAGGCAUCCAGGGGCGAAUCAUGAUUCAUUUGUUUGGAAUAGUUGCGUUCCAGAUGCUUCACGAAAUUCACGAUUUGCAGGAACAGCUGUUUUCCCCAUUAAUAAACCUUAUGGGACUUCCUGUAAAAACCUGCAAAUCGUGAAGCAUCUGGAACGCAACUAAUGUGGGUCACGCAGAACAGGAGCUAAAAUCUGAUUAUAACAAUGGAAAAACCAACACAUGGCUACACGCCAUACUUGAUGACGCCAUUCAGAAGCACAGCCGAUGAAAUUCAACGAAUUUACAACACAAAGCACUCGAAUGCUCGUAAUGUAAUUGAGAGAUGUUUCGGUGUUUUGAAAAACCGAUUUCGAUGUAUAAUUGGCUCGAGAGGGCUACACUAUUCACCAGAAAAAGUUACACAAAUUGUAAAUGUGUGCUGUGCUAUUCAUAACGUUUGUAUAUUUUUCAAACAUCAAAUUCCAUUGGAGAGCCCAGAUAUGGAGAAUCUUGUUAGU
RNAcentral lists this unclassified non-coding RNA (1575 nucleotides) under Rhagoletis pomonella (apple maggot). RNAcentral describes it as "sex-regulated protein janus-A-like, transcript variant X2". The record is from RNAcentral. Lineage: Eukaryota; Metazoa; Arthropoda; Insecta; Diptera; Tephritidae.